This is a long non-coding RNA of Panicum virgatum (switchgrass), 978 nucleotides long. RefSeq lists it as uncharacterized. NCBI's taxonomy places the organism in Eukaryota, Viridiplantae, Streptophyta, Magnoliopsida, Poales, Poaceae. The transcript is spliced from 2 exons. The record is from RefSeq and is a predicted model, not a curated record.
UGAGGCGCGGUGGUGAGAAAAAAUAGACGAUUUUGGCAGAAACAUUUUUCUUGAUGGUGUUUUUGCCUUCCACCAAGUUUGGUAAGCACCCAAUCCUUUCAUGUGGGUCUAAAAGAGGUAUUUUAUGAGAGGGGUGGGUGGGUUAGAGUUGGAUACAAUUGUAUCCAAUUCUUUCAUCCUUUAUAGUAUAGAUAUUGUAUUUGAGAUUUAGAUAUAUUUUAUGUUAUUGAAAAUAGAAGUUCAAUGCCUAUGGAGAUACUUUAUUUCAAUGAAGAUUAACUAGGAAACUGAUUAGCAAUAUUAAGUAGGAGAAGCAUUUUUCUGCUGCUCCUUGAGAUUGAAUUGCUAUAUUAUUACUAAAUAGAUUUAAUUUUUGUGGUUUGAUGCAAACUAAUUAUUUUUAAAUGCCUUUUCUUUAAAUUGGCACAUGGAUCACCACUAUAUUAUUAACAGAAAAUAAUUUAGAUCAAAUGAACCCAGAGGGCUAUGGACCAAGAAGAUGAUGAAGCACGUGUAUUUCAUCACUAGGUACGAAUAUACUGGAGAUCCAGAUAUUGGCUCCAAACCUUCAGAUCAAUAUGAUGCAGUGUAGAAGGAUCCCACUGGUACGGUGGACAUGAACACAUGCAGUGCGUGGUGUGAGCCAGACGUAUAUAUGGGCUAUAUUUGUGGAGUGCUGUUGCGUUCAUAGGCCGGUGAAUGAACAACAUAAUUUUUUCUUUUUAUUUACUUGUAUUUUAUAAUUGUUUUCUUAGUGGAGUUCAGUAAUGUAGCAUGUUUGGAUUCUAAAGGAGCCAAAACCGGUGAAUGAACAACCUAAUUUUUUCUUUUUAUUUACUUGUAUUUUAUAAUUUUUUUUCUUAGUGGAGCUCAGUGAUGUAGCAUGUUUGGAUUCUAAAGGAGCCAAAUCUACAAUGAAGUACUUAUAUGACUAUACGAUGGGCGGCUCGAGUCAUUAUGAAAUACCGUCUGCGGAUU